CGGGGGGCAGCAGUGGGGAAUAUUGCGCAAUGGGCGAAAGCCUGACGCAGCGACGCCGCGUGGAGGAUGAAGGUCUUUGGAUUGUAAACUUCUGUUAAGUGGAAAGAAAGACCUCUGGUUAAUACCCAGGGGGGAUGACGGUACCGCUAGAGAAAGCACCGGCUAACUUUGUGCCAGCAGCCGCGGUAAUACAAAGGGUGCAAGCGUUAUUCGGAAUAAUUGGGCGUAAAGAGCGUGUAGGCGGUUUUGUAAGUUGUUUGUUAAAUCCAGUGGCUUAACCAUUGAUGUGCAGACAAUACUGCUUGACUUGAGUGCGAGAGAGAGGGGUGGAAUUCUAGGAGUAGCGGUAAAAUGCGUAGAUCUCUAGAGGAACACCGAUGGCGAAGGCAGCCCCUUGGUUCGUAACUGACGCUGGAGCGCGAAAGCGUGGGGAGCAAACAGGAUUAGAUACCCCGGU
Molecule: ribosomal RNA, 457 nt
Filed under: uncultured prokaryote
Description: bacterial SSU rRNA
Rfam family: Bacterial small subunit ribosomal RNA
Source: RNAcentral